UACGAAGGGGGCUAGCGUUGCUCGGAAUUACUGGGCGUAAAGGGCGCGUAGGCGGAUAGUUUAGUCAGAGGUAAAAGCCCAGGGCUCAACCUUGGAACUGCCUUUGAUACUGGCUAUCUUGAGUACGGGAGAGGUGUGUGGAACUCCGAGUGUAGAGGUGAAAUUCGUAGAUAUUCGGAAGAACACCAGUGGCGAAGGCGACACACUGGCCCGUUACUGACGCUGAGGCACGAAAGCGUGGGGAGCAAACAGG
Molecule: ribosomal RNA, 253 nt
Filed under: uncultured bacterium
Lineage: Bacteria
Description: partial 16S ribosomal RNA
Rfam family: Bacterial small subunit ribosomal RNA
Source: RNAcentral